CACGCUGUAAACGAUGGAUACUAGGUGUGGGGGGUCUGACCCCCUCCGUGCCGCAGUUAACACAAUAAGUAUCCCACCUGGGGAGUACGAUCGCAAGGUUGAAACUCAAAGGAAUUGACG
RNAcentral lists this ribosomal RNA (120 nucleotides) under uncultured bacterium. RNAcentral describes it as "partial 16S ribosomal RNA". It matches the Rfam family "Bacterial small subunit ribosomal RNA", at positions 796 to 915 of the family's 1533-position model. The record is from RNAcentral.